RNAcentral lists this long non-coding RNA (2626 nucleotides) under Sarcophilus harrisii (Tasmanian devil). Its description in RNAcentral is "lncRNA (ENSSHAG00000028756.1)". Lineage: Eukaryota; Metazoa; Chordata; Mammalia; Dasyuromorphia; Dasyuridae. The record is from RNAcentral.
CCAUUCCCAAAGCCUCAAUCGGGUCUGAAGCAAUACAGCAAAGACAUUGUUUUUUUUGUAAAGCAUGGUGACACUGCAAAGAGGGUUUGAGACUUUGGCACUCUGGGGAUUAAAGACAUGGGAACUCUUCUCAUCUGUAGGCUAGGAUACUUUCAAAAAAGAGUUUGGAGAUGGGAGAAGGGAACAGGGUGGGGCAAAAGUGUUGUUGCCAUUACUCUGAUGCUCUUUGGCUCCAAUAUGAGGUUUAGUUUGGAAGUUUCCUCUCAUAGGUCAUCAAUAGUACUGUAAUUCUUCCUGAAUUUCUUAUGCUUAUCUUCAUCAGUUCAUGUGUUUUAUCAAAUUCUUCUAAUAAUUGAUAACAAUUAUCAGUGAUAAUUUUUGUUAACAAAAUACGAACCAUUUGGUGGACAGAGACAGGGAUUCUUCCUUAUUUGAAUAAGCUCCACUGGCAGAAGGGGAGACCUUCCUAGAUGCCUUUUAGAUCCACCCAAUGAUAAAUCAGUCAGUUGACAAAUAUUCAUGAAGUGUCUGCUUUGCAACAGGAACUUUGUUAAACUCUGAACAUGUGAAAACUUAAAACAAACAAACAAAAACCUAAUGUCAGCCUUUCCCUACUUCCUACCCUUAAGAUAUCUUGUCUUCUUAUAUUUUGACUAAUAAUUGGGGGAAUCUACCUUUUUUUUUAUUAAAGCUUUUAAUUUUCAAAACACAUACAUAGAUAAUUUUCAACAUUCACCAUUGCAAAACCUUGUGUUCCAAUUUUUUUCUCUCCCUUCUCUCCCACCCCCUCCCCUAGAUGGCAAGUAAUCCAAUAUAUGUUAAACAUGCAAUUCUUUAUACAUAUUUCUACAAUUGUCAUACUACACAAGAAAAAUUAGAUCAAAAAGAAAAAAAUGAGAAAGAAAACAAAAUGCAAGUAAAUAACAAAAAAGGUGAAAAUACUAUGUUGUGAUCCACACUCAGUACCCACUGUUCUGUCUCUAGGUGCAGAUGACUCUCUUCAUCACAAGACCAUUGGAACUGGCCUGAAUCAUCUCAUUGUUUGAAAAGAGCCAUGUCCAUCAGAACUGAUCAUCAUAUAAUCUUGCUGUUGCUGUGUACAAUGAUCUCCUGGUUCUCUUUAUUUCAUGUAAAUCUCUCCAGACCUCUCUAAUAUCAUCCUGCUGAUCAUUUCUUAUAGAACAAUAAUAUUGCAUAACAUUCAUAUACUAUAACAUUCAUCCAUUCUUCAAUUGAUGGGCAUCAACUCAGUUUCCAGUUAGAGUCUACAUUGAAAUGAAGCUGUGCCCUGAACUGGAGAUACAAGAGAGAAAAGCAAACCAUUUUAGCCAGCAAGAACAUGAUCAUCCUCUCAAGGUAUAAAUUUGGAGGAUCAAAUAUUUCAGACCCUUUUCAUUAAAGAAGGUGCCCACUAAUUCCUUCCACAAUCUACAAAGUAAAAUAUAUAGGAAGGAUUUUUUUUCUCCAAAGUGUAACCUGAUCAGACAGCUAUUUAUUGUUUGCACCAGUCAGUCUUUUUUUGAGUGUGUUAUUUAUUUGAGAGAAAUGUUUUCCUUUUCAAGCCAUGGGCCAGGCCAUUUGUUUUCUCACUUGGUGUUCUUUUUGCCUCAAGUCGUCCCUAACGACUGCCAUCUUUUAGAUUAUUCUCCUUAAGAAGCAUGACUUCCUCCUCCCCUCUACUGUCGUCAUGAUCACCACCAUCACCAAACACCAGCAUGUAGCACAGAUUGCGGCCUAAGUUCUUGGAGAGAAGCCAGUGCAUUUGUCAGGAAUUGAAAAGUUUUGGAGCUGGUUCGCAGAGUUUCUGGUACACAAAGUGUUGGCUUGGAAGCAUGAAAUAACCAACUUCUGUCUCAAGUGAAAGAGAAGAAAUGAUGUCUGCUCUUCAUCUAGGAAAGGAAAAUCUGGACAAAAACAGGUGAUCUGGUAUGCAAAGAGAAAGAGAGAGAUUGAGAGAGAGAAAGGACUGCCUGGCCAGCGGCUCUGGAAUGCCUAAAGGAUAAUUUCAGCUAUACUUCCGGUCCAGAGCCAUGUUGCAGAUUAAACCUCAUCAGAUUACUUUCAGAAGCUAAACGGCAGACUUGAAAAUUCUUCUUGAAUGAUUCCCUUGACUGGACUAGAAAUGUAUCCUGCCUUGGAUAUUCUCAGAGUAAGGGUAUAGAAAUGUGUCCCCAGGAGAUGUAGUGGAUGUAGGGGUGGGAAACUUCCAUCUACUGCUAUUGCAGAAGAUGAGACAAAUGAUGCGGAAAGAAAUUUCUAUAAGCUACCCAGGUGUGAUUUGGAACAGAAUUUGACCUACCAUUUUUUUCUACUUUGGUCCAGUCUAAAGAAAAUAUUCUACCCAGAGAUUCUUCAUAUCAUAGGCACACCCUAGAUUAACUCUUCUGUUUUUGAGACCUGUUCUGAAAAUCUUGGGUGAGGACGGGAAUGAAUAUCCAUUUCUCUGCAAUAUAUUCUGAGGACAAGUAUAACAAUUAUUCAGUCUUCAUGGAACUUCAUCCCCAGCAAAAGUGAGUACAUUCAUUUUAAAACCACAUAAGUAGUAGCUUUCAAUCUGGUGGUUUUCAUAUAUUGCCAUUUAAAUUUUCUUUCUCUGUCCUCCCUAUUGGAGACUUCUGAACUGAAC